AGAGCACUGUUUCGGCAAGGGGGUCAUCCCGACUUACCAACCCGAUGCAAACUGCGAAUACCGGAGAAUGUUAUCACGGGAGACACACGGCGGGGGCUAACGUCCGUCGUGAAGAGGGAAACAACCCAGACCGCCAGCUAAGGUCCCAAAGUCAUGGUUAAGUGGGAAACGAUGUGGGAAGGCCCAGACAGCCAGGAUGUUGGCUUAGAAGCAGCCAUCAUUUAAAGAAAGCGUAAUAGCUCACUGGUCGAGUCGGCCUGCGCGGAAGAUGUAACGGGGCUAAACCAUGCACCGAAGCUGCGGCAGCGACGCUUAUGCGUUGUUGGGUAGGGGAGCGUUCUGUAAGCCUGCGAAGGUGUGCUGUGAGGCAUGCUGGAGGUAUCAGAAGUGCGAAUGCUGACAUAAGUAACGAUAAAGCGGGUGAAAAGCCCGCUCGCCGGAAGACCAAGGGUUCCUGUCCAACGUUAAUCGGGGCAGGGUGAGUCGACCCCUAAGGCGAGGCCGAAAGGCGUAGUCAAUGGGAAACAGGUUAAUAUUCCUG
RNAcentral lists this ribosomal RNA (541 nucleotides) under Escherichia coli. Its description in RNAcentral is "bacterial LSU rRNA". It matches the Rfam family "Bacterial large subunit ribosomal RNA", at positions 904 to 1441 of the family's 2925-position model. Lineage: Bacteria; Pseudomonadati; Pseudomonadota; Gammaproteobacteria; Enterobacterales; Enterobacteriaceae. The record is from RNAcentral.